UUUCACCGUCUCUUUUGUGCACAUUACUGAUAGUACAACAAACCACUCCAGUCCUCUCUCUGUCUGCAAAAACUAACCCCUUUUGCUGAAAUCACUCUAUUUAUCUUCUUCUAGUAGGUUUAAAGAUGUCGGCGGUGGUUCAGCUUCGCUGCUCUUCACUUCCAGCCCACUAUCACUAUCAAACUCUUUACUUUUCUGCUGUCAAACCCUCAUUUUCAGACAACAGCUGCGUCAGAAAUCUCAGCUUUAACCCAUUAACUACCAGCCAUGUGGGUUCUAAACAAUUGCUUAUUAAGUAUCAAGUUCCUUGUGCUGGGUGGGGUGGUGGUGAUGGAGGAAGCAUUGGCAUUG
RNAcentral lists this unclassified non-coding RNA (351 nucleotides) under Hevea brasiliensis (rubber tree). The record is from RNAcentral. Lineage: Eukaryota; Viridiplantae; Streptophyta; Magnoliopsida; Malpighiales; Euphorbiaceae.